This 901-nucleotide ribosomal RNA is filed under the name uncultured bacterium. RNAcentral's name for it is "bacterial SSU rRNA". It matches the Rfam family "Bacterial small subunit ribosomal RNA", at positions 505 to 1402 of the family's 1533-position model. The record is from RNAcentral.
GUUUCAGCAGCCGCGGUAAUACGUAGGGUGCGAGCGUUAUCCGGAAUUAUUGGGCGUAAAGAGCUCGUAGGCGGUUUGUCGCGUCUGUCGUGAAAGUCCGGGGCUUAACCCCGGAUCUGCGGUGGGUACGGGCAGACUAGAGUGCAGUAGGGGAGACUGGAAUUCCCGGUGUAGCGGUGGAAUGCGCAGAUAUCAGGAGGAACACCGAUGGCGAAGGCAGGUCUCUGGGCUGUAACUGACGCUGAGGAGCGAAAGCAUGGGGAGCGAACAGGAUUAGAUACCCUGGUAGUCCAUGCCGUAAACGUUGGGCACUAGGUGUGGGGACCAUUCCACGGUUUCCGCGCCGCAGCUAACGCAUUAAGUGCCCCGCCUGGGGAGUACGGCCGCAAGGCUAAAACUCAAAGGAAUUGACGGGGGCCCGCACAAGCGGCGGAGCAUGCGGAUUAAUUCGAUGCAACGCGAAGAACCUUACCAAGGCUUGACAUGUUCUCGAUCGCCGUAGAGAUACGGUUUCCCCUUUGGGGCGGGUUCACAGGUGGUGCAUGGUUGUCGUCAGCUCGUGUCGUGAGAUGUUGGGUUAAGUCCCGCAACGAGCGCAACCCUCGUUCCAUGUUGCCAGCACGUCGUGGUGGGGACUCAUGGGAGACUGCCGGGGUCAACUCGGAGGAAGGUGAGGACGACGUCAAAUCAUCAUGCCCCUUAUGUCUUGGGCUUCACGCAUGCUACAAUGGCCGGUACAAUGGGUUGCGAUACUGUGAGGUGGAGCUAAUCCCAAAAAGCCGGUCUCAGUUCGGAUUGGGGUCUGCAACUCGACCCCAUGAAGUCGGAGUCGCUAGUAAUCGCAGAUCAGCAACGCUGCGGUGAAUACGUUCCCGGGCCUUGUACACACCGCCCGUCAAAC